This 73-nucleotide transfer RNA is filed under the name Araneus ventricosus. RNAcentral's name for it is "tRNA-Val". The record is from RNAcentral. Lineage: Eukaryota; Metazoa; Arthropoda; Arachnida; Araneae; Araneidae.
UGGUUCCGCCCGGGAUCGAACCGUAGACCUUUCGCGUGUAAAGCGAAUGUGAUAACCACUACACUACGGAACC